RNAcentral lists this long non-coding RNA (606 nucleotides) under Carassius auratus (goldfish). Its description in RNAcentral is "lncRNA (ENSCARG00000050773.1)". The record is from RNAcentral. Lineage: Eukaryota; Metazoa; Chordata; Actinopteri; Cypriniformes; Cyprinidae.
CUAACAAUUAAAUCAAUAAUUUCCAAGAGCUUUGAGCACAAUGUGUGGUCAUUUCACAUUACAUUUUCAUCAGGUAAAUCUUGUAAAUGCCUGUUUUCCCUCAGGUCCUUGCUUUUGGAGACAGUGCCUGGCUUGAUUAAGUUGAAUAAUGAGCAGACUGCUGCUGCUGCAGUGCCCCAUAAAUGUCCAGAACAGCAGUGGCGUUUCCAGGCCCUCUGUCAAGCACAACAAGAGUGACAAGAUUCACUUCUCCAGCAGCAAAAGAUGGAGAUCAGUUCUGCACCCUCACAAGAUGACGCCCAGCUUCUUGCAAUUGGCCACCAAGCAGACCUGCUCAGAAUGGCAGUGGACCAGUGUUAUGCCCAUGAAUAUAUCAAAAGCUGUUUUACAGAGGAUUCUACACUGGCAGCAGCUGCUAACAGUAGUUCAUGUACUUAUUCUGAAGCAUCUUUAUCACAAAAAGACUUGAGAUGUGUCUCCGGGAUACAGCAGAUUUGGCAGAAACACAAAAAGACUCAAUUUUCUCAAGCUGACCUUGAGCUACGAUCUGCUGACUGCAUGCACACACAAAAUAUUUUUACUUUUACAUUUAAUUUCUGUAUGUAG